This 497-nucleotide ribosomal RNA is filed under the name uncultured bacterium. Its description in RNAcentral is "partial 16S ribosomal RNA". It matches the Rfam family "Bacterial small subunit ribosomal RNA", at positions 28 to 507 of the family's 1533-position model. The record is from RNAcentral.
GACGAACGCUGGCGGCGUGCCUAAUACAUGCAAGUUGAGCGAUGAAGAUUGGUGCUUGCACCAAUUUGAAGAGCAGCGAACGGGUGAGUAACGCGUGGGGAAUCUGCCUUUGAGCGGGGGACAACAUUUGGAAACGAAUGCUAAUACCGCAUAACAACUUUAAACAUAAGUUUUAAGUUUGAAAGAUGCAAUUGCAUCACUCAAAGAUGAUCCCGCGUUGUAUUAGCUAGUUGGUGAGGUAAAGGCUCACCAAGGCGAGGAUACAUAGCCGACCUGCGAGGAUGAUCGGCCACAUUGGGAGGGAGACACGGCACAAACGGAUACGGGAAGCAGCCGUAGGGAAUCGUCGGGAAUGGAUGAAAGUCUGAGCGAGAAACGCCGAGGGAGGGAAGAAGGAUGUCGGGUCGGAAAAGUCUGUUGGUAGAGAAGAACGUUGGUGAGAGUGGGAAGCUCAGAAAGUGACGGUAACUACCCAGAAAGGGACGGCUAACUACGUG